AUGGGUAAACUCAUGAAGGCUUUUGGUAAGGACACUUCUGCUGCUUGUGUUGAAGAUUCUGAUGAUUCAGAUGGGGAUCCCUUUGUCCCCAAUGAUUUUGCUGAGGAUGAUCCUUUUCAAGCUUCAAAGGAAGGUCAAAUGGAUGAUCCUGAUUUAGAGAAAGCUUUGUAUGAGUUCUACAUGUCUCAUGCGAGCAUUACUAGCAGCAGCAGCAUUCCAGCCAUCACCUUGGGCGAGAUCCGUGUUGCCCAGUGUGCGGACGGGCUAGCGGCAAUGCUGGCCAUCGGCACGGAGAACCCGUCCCACUGCCUGCCACAGGGCAACUACCCCGAUUACUACUUCUGCGUCACCAACAGUGACCAACUCACUGACCUCAAGCAAACCUUCACCAAGCUAUGCGGGAUGACGGGCAUCAGCAUGCGUUUCUUCCAGCACAUCGACGAACUACACGCCACGCACCCGGACUUGUCCCUCGACGCCACCCUGGAAGUCAUGGCUACCGCCCCAGAGCUCGCCGCGUCAGCUGUGGUGAACACCAUCGCCGAGUGGGGCUGUACGGCGGGCUACAUCACCCAUCUCGUCGUCAGCACCAACGCGGGAUCGCAUGCCCUGGACACCGACGUACGCUUGGUCUCCCUUGGCCUCUGCCACGACGUCCUGCGCAACUGA
Molecule: ribosomal RNA, 669 nt
Filed under: Triticum aestivum (bread wheat)
Lineage: Eukaryota; Viridiplantae; Streptophyta; Magnoliopsida; Poales; Poaceae
Description: partial small subunit ribosomal RNA
Source: RNAcentral